This 920-nucleotide ribosomal RNA is filed under the name uncultured Ascomycota. RNAcentral describes it as "eukaryotic LSU rRNA". The stretch from base 282 to 920 matches the Rfam family "Eukaryotic large subunit ribosomal RNA", at positions 1 to 664 of the family's 3401-position model. The record is from RNAcentral. Lineage: Eukaryota; Fungi; Ascomycota.
AUCGAUGAAGAACGCAGCGAAAUGCGAUAAGUAAUGUGAAUUGCAGAAUUCAGUGAAUCAUCGAAUCUUUGAACGCACAUUGCGCCCAUURGUAUUCYAGUGGGCAUGCCUGUUCGAGCGUCAUUUCAACCCUUAAGCCUAGCUUAGUGUUGGGWAUCUACUGUAUUGUAGUUCCUGAAAUACAACGGCGGAUCUGUAAUAUCCUCUGAGCGUAGUAWAUUUUUUCUCGCUUUGGUUAGGUGUUGCAGCUCUCAGCCGCUAAACCCCCCAAUUUUAAUGGUUGACCUCGGAUCAGGUAGGAAUACCCGCUGAACUUAWGCAUAUCAAUAAGCGGAGGAAAAGAAACCAACAGGGAUUGCCCUAGUAACGGCGAGUGAAGCGGCAACAGCUCAAAUUUGAAAUCUGGCCCUUGGGUCCGAAUUGUAAUUUGUAGAGGAUGUUUUUGGUGCGGUAUCUUCCGAGUUCCUUGGAACAGGACGCCUUAGAGGGUGAGAGCCCCGUAYGGUUGAAUGCCUAGCCUCUGUAAAACUCCUUCGACGAGUCGAGUAGUUUGGGAAUGCUGCUCUAAAUGGGAGGUAAAUUUCUUCUAAAGCUAAAUACUGGCCAGAGACSGAUAGCGCACAAGWAGAGWGAUMGAAAGAUGAAAAGCACUUUGAAAAGAGGGUUAAAUAGCACGUGAAAUUGUUGAAAGGGAAGGAUUUAUGACCAGACUUKUUCUGGGYGGAUMAUCSGGUGUUCUCACCGGUGCACUUUGCCCAGUKUMGGCCAGCAUCGAUKUUCGGUGGGGGAUAAAAGCUUUAGGAAUGUGGCUCUUUCGGGAGUGUUAUAGCCUAUUGUAUAAUACCCUACUGGGGAUCGAGGUACGCGCUUCKGCAAGGAUGCUGGCGUAAUGGUUAUCAAUCACCCGUCUUGAAACACGG